This 404-nucleotide ribosomal RNA is filed under the name Bacillota bacterium. RNAcentral describes it as "Firmicutes bacterium partial 16S ribosomal RNA". It matches the Rfam family "Bacterial small subunit ribosomal RNA", at positions 355 to 776 of the family's 1533-position model. Lineage: Bacteria; Bacillati; Bacillota. The record is from RNAcentral.
UGGGGAAUAUUGGACAAUGGGCGCAAGCCUGAUCCAGCCAUGCCGCGUGAGUGAUGAAGGCCUUAGGGUUGUAAAGCUCUUUCGGCGGGGACGAUAAUGACGGUACCCGCAGAAGAAGCCCCGGCUAACUUCGUGCCAGCAGCCGCGGUAAUACGAAGGGGACUAGCGUUGUUCGGAAUCACUGGGCGUAAAGGGCGCGUAGGCGGCUUUAUAAGUCGGGGGUGAAAGCCUGUGGCUCAACCACAGAAUUGCCUUCGAUACUGUACGGCUCGAGACCGGAAGAGGUAAGUGGAACUGCGAGUGUAGAGGUGAAAUUCGUAGAUAUUCGCAAGAACACCAGUGGCGAAGGCGGCUUACUGGUCCGGAUCUGACGCUGAGGCGCGAAAGCGUGGGGAGCAAACAGG